This is a long non-coding RNA of Nothobranchius furzeri (turquoise killifish), 2226 nucleotides long. The record is from Ensembl. NCBI's taxonomy places the organism in Eukaryota, Metazoa, Chordata, Actinopteri, Cyprinodontiformes, Nothobranchiidae.
AUGAUCCGACCCGAACCCGUUAAGGGAUCCAGCGGGGAGAUUCUACCCUGGGAGUGCCUGCUCUGGUUCCUCUCCUCCGAUCACCGGCCGGCCUCUCUUUCUCCAGCUUCGCCUCGCCGAAGACGCCAUCGCCGACCUUCGGCCAUGGCAUUCCUCCCCGCCCUCCCGGAGCCGGAGGCGAGUUUGGACCGGGAGCCGCUUCCAGAUCGCUCCAGUUUUGUUGGCACAAGCCUGGCUGUCUGUUCCCCCGGAGUUGGUCUACGGCAUGGGGAGAAACGCCGAGCUCCACCGCAUCCCUGUGUCCCGGGACGGAGCUGCGGACUCGCCGCUGCCCCUGCCCGACGCAGCAGCUUGGACCCGCCCCCAGCCAGAUCAGCAGUCCCGUCACCAGCCCAAUAUGCGCAUCCGUCAUCUGCAGGCAGAGGAGCAAUGCCUGCAGCCCAGCUGACAGAGCUCGUCGGUCUCCAGGCGGAACUUGGCCGGAUCCGCCAGCUCGUCAGCCUCCAGGAGUCCCAUCUGGACACUCUAUCCUCCUCGAACUGCCAGGAGAGAGCCUCGGUCCAGCCGGCCGCUCCCUCAUCUCAGAGCCAGAGGAGCGAGCCCGAGGUCCACCCAGCGGAGCUCGCCGGUCUCCGGGCUGAGCUGGCCCAGCUCCAUCGGACCCUCAGCCUCCAGGAGCUUCAGCUAGACGGUCUGUCCUCCCUGUUCUCCCGGUUUCCAGCACCACCAGUUCAGACGCAGCCUGUUCCAGCGGUGGUCCUGGAGGUUGCACUGCAUCCGGUCCAGCCUGUCCAGGCAGCCCCUCCUGCUGCGGCUCAGUCUCCACUCCAGAAGCAGAAGGCUCGGGCCCAGAAGAAGACGGUUCUGGCCCAGAAGCAGAUGGUUCCGGUUCCGGCCCAGAAGCAGACGGUUCCGCUCCAGAAGCAGAAGGUUCCGGCCCAGAAGCAGACAGUUCUGGCCCAGAAGCAGAUGGUUCCGGUUCCGACCCAGAAGCAGACGGUUCUGGUCCAGAAGCAGACAAUUCAGAAGUCGACGCACCUGGACCAGAAGUCGACGCCCCUGGACCAGAAGUCGACGCUUCCGGGCCAGAAGUCGACGCCCCCGGACCAGAAGUCGCCGCCCCCAGACCAGAAGUUGACGGACCAGAAGUCGACGGUCCAGAAGUCGACGGUCCAGAGGUCGACGGUCCAGAGGUCGACGGUCCAGAAGUCAACGCCUCCAGACCAGAAGUCAAUGGAGGUCGACGCCCCUUCCAGUCUUAUAGUCGACGCCUCUUCGUGUUCUGAAGUCGACGCCUCUUCGUAUUCUGAAGUCGACGCCUCUUCGUGUUCUGAAGUCGACGCCUCUUCGUGUUCUGAAGUUAACGCCUCCUCGUGUUCUGAAGUCGACGCCUCCUCGUGUUCUGAAGUCGACGCCUCCUCGUGUUCUGAAGUCGACGCCUCCUCGUGUUCUGAAGUCGACACCUCCUCGUGUUCUGGAGUCGACGCCUCAUCCACUCCAGAGGUCGACGCCUCAUCCACUCCAGGGGUCGACGCCUCUUCCAGUCCAAGGGUCGACGCCCCCAGGCCAGAAGUCAACGCCUCCUCUGAAGUCGGCGCCUCAUCUGAAGUCGACGCUUCAUCUGAAGUUGACGCCUCAUCUGAAGUCGACGCUCUUUCCACUCCAGAGGUCGACGCUCUUUCCACUCCAGAGGUCGACGCUCGUUCCACUCCAGAGGUCGACGCUCUUUCCACUCCAGAGGUCGACGCUCUUUCCACUCCAGAGGUCGACACUCUUUCCAGUCCAGAGAUCGACACUCCCUCGUGUCCAGAGGUCGACAUCCCCUCUAGUCCGGCAUCUCCACCGUCUCCAGUCCUGUGGUCGACACCGUCUCCAGUUCCAGUGGUGGUUCCGGAGGUCGCACCGUAUCCGGUCCAGCCCUUCCACGAGGCUCCGGUCCUGCCCUUCCAAGAGGCUCCGGUCCUGCCCUUCCAAGAGGCUCCGGUCCGGCCCAUCCAAGAGGCUUUGUCUCCGGUCCGGCCCAGCCUGCAGAGACUUUGUCCCCGGCCCAGCCUGCAGAGACCUUGUCCCCGGCCCAGCCUGCAGAGACUUUGUCCCCGGCCCAGCCUGCAGAGACUUUGUCCCGGGCCCAGCCUGCAGAGACUUUGUCCCUGGCCCAGCCUGCAGAGACUUUGUCCCCGGUCCAGCCUGCAGAGCUCCUCUGCCGUAGACGCCGGCCCCCAAUAG